GAUGAAGAACGCAGCGAAAUGCGAUAAGUAAUGCGAAUUGCAGAAUUUCCGUGAGUCAUCGAAUCUUUGAACGCACAUUGUGCCCACUGGUAUUCCGGUGGGCAUGCCUGUUCGAGCGUCAUUAUCCUCCCUCAAACCUCGGGUUUGGUGUUGGACCCAAGUUGUGUGAACAACUGGUCUUAAAGACAAUGACGGCGUCCGUGGGACCCUCGGUGCAACGAGCUUUUAGGAGCACGCGUCGAGUUUCAAGGACCUUCCGGGCCGGUCUCCUUUACCAUUUUACAAGGUUGACCUCGGAUCAGGUAGGAAUACCCGCUGAACUUAAGCAUAUCAAUAAGCGGAGGA
This 345-nucleotide unclassified non-coding RNA is filed under the name soil metagenome. RNAcentral describes it as "partial contains 5.8S ribosomal RNA, internal transcribed spacer 2, and large subunit ribosomal RNA". The stretch from base 1 to 121 matches the Rfam family "5.8S ribosomal RNA", at positions 35 to 154 of the family's 154-position model. The record is from RNAcentral.